Molecule: ribosomal RNA, 492 nt
Filed under: Crisilla beniamina
Lineage: Eukaryota; Metazoa; Mollusca; Gastropoda; Littorinimorpha; Rissoidae
Description: partial 16S ribosomal RNA
Rfam family: Bacterial large subunit ribosomal RNA
Source: RNAcentral
AAACAUGGCUCUUUGAUUGUUUUAGAUAAGGAGUCGGGCCUGCCCAGUGAUAACAUAUUAUUUAACGGCCGCAGUAUCUUGACUGUGCAAAGGUAGCAUAAUCAUUUGCUCUGUAAUUUAGGGCUGGUAUGAAUGGUUUGACAAGAGCAAAGCUGUCUCUGGAGGAUUUUAUUGAAAUUAACUUUUAAGUGAAAAGGCUUAAAUAUAAUUGAAAGACGAGAAGACCCUAUCGAGCUUGAUAAAUUACUUAGGGGUACUAAGCUUUUUUUUGGUUGGGGCGACCGAGGAACAAAAAAAGCUUCCUUAAUAUUAAGACAUGAUAAAUUUUGAUCCAAUAGAAUUGAUUAAAAAAUAAGUUACCGUAGGGAUAACAGCGUAAUCUUCUCUGAGAGUACAUAUUAAAGAGAAAUUUUGCGACCUCGAUGUUGGACUAAAGUAUCCUAAAGAUGCAGGAGUCUUUAAGGGUUGGUCUGUUCGACCAUUAAAACUUUA